This 439-nucleotide ribosomal RNA is filed under the name uncultured bacterium. RNAcentral's name for it is "partial 16S ribosomal RNA". It matches the Rfam family "Bacterial small subunit ribosomal RNA", at positions 338 to 794 of the family's 1533-position model. The record is from RNAcentral.
CCUACGGGAGGCAGCAGUGGGGAAUAUUGCACAAUGGGGGAAACCCUGAUGCAGCGACGCCGCGUGAAGGAUGAAGUACUUCGGUAUGUAAACUUCUAUCAGCAGGGAAGAAAAUGACGGUACCUGACUAAGAAGCCCCGGCUAACUACGUGCCAGCAGCCGGGGUAAUACGUAGGGGGCAAGCGUUAUCCGGAUUUACGGGGUGUAAAGGGAGCGUAGACGGCAUGGCAAGUCUGAUGUGAAAACCCGGGGCUCAACCCCGAGACUGAAUUGAAAACUGUCAGGCUAGAGUGUCGGGAGGGCGAGUGGAAUGCCUGGUGUAGCGGGGAAAUGCGUGGAUAUUAGGAGGAACACGAGUGGCGAAGGCGGCUUGCAGGACGAUGACUGACGUUGAGGCUCGAAGGCGUGGGAAGCAAACAGGAUUAGAUACCCCAGUAGU